AGUUUGAUCCUGGCUCAGAUUGAACGCUGGCGGCAGGCCUAACACAUGCAAGUCGAACGGUAACAGAGAGUAGCUUGCUACUUUGCUGACAAGUGGCGGACGGGUGAGUAAUGUCUGGGGAUCUGCCUGAUGGAGGGGGAUAACUACUGGAAACGGUAGCUAAUACCGCAUAAUGUCGCAAGACCAAAGCGGGGGACUUUCGGGCCUCGCACCAUCAGAUGAACCCAGAUGGGAUUAGCUAGUAGGUAAGGUAAUGGCUUACCUAGGCGACGAUCCCUAGCUGGUCUGAGAGGAUGACCAGCCACACUGGAACUGAGACACGGUCCAGACUCCUACGGGAGGCAGCAGUGGGGAAUAUUGCACAAUGGGCGCAAGCCUGAUGCAGCCAUGCCGCGUGUAUGAAGAAGGCCUUCGGGUUGUAAAGUACUUUCAGUCAGGAGGAAGGGUGUGAAAUUAAUACUUUCAUGCAUUGACGUUACUGACAGAAGAAGCACCGGCUAACUCCGUGCCAGCAGCCGCGGUAA
RNAcentral lists this ribosomal RNA (524 nucleotides) under uncultured bacterium. RNAcentral describes it as "bacterial SSU rRNA". It matches the Rfam family "Bacterial small subunit ribosomal RNA", at positions 10 to 523 of the family's 1533-position model. The record is from RNAcentral.